GUCUACGGCCAUGCCACCCUGAAAGCGCCCGAUCUAGUCUGAUCUUGGAAGCUAAGCAGGGUCGGGCCUGGUUAGUACUUGGAUGGGAGANN
RNAcentral lists this ribosomal RNA (92 nucleotides) under Cricetulus griseus (Chinese hamster). The record is from RNAcentral. Lineage: Eukaryota; Metazoa; Chordata; Mammalia; Rodentia; Cricetidae.